Molecule: long non-coding RNA, 1862 nt
Filed under: Nicotiana benthamiana
Lineage: Eukaryota; Viridiplantae; Streptophyta; Magnoliopsida; Solanales; Solanaceae
Description: long non-coding RNA (NBEN_LNC007449)
Source: RNAcentral
AAAAUCCCUACCUAUUAUGAUUGUAUCUAACACGCUGGCUAGCCAAGUCAAAAUAAUAAUGAAGGCAACAAAAUAACAAAUAUUUAUAAAAACAACAUAAGUCUGAGGUCUGAAUACAAUAAAACUGCUAAUACCAAACUAAAUCCCUAGAAACUGAUAAGUACAAAGUCAUAAGUUUCUACAAUGGAAUGAAGUCUAUAACUAAGAAUAAAUACACUAUCUGAACUGUAACAACAAUAUUAAAAGAAAAAACAAGUCAAACUGCGACCAAGGAUGUAUCUCUACCUCGCCUCUAGCAGAUCGUUCCAACGAGCAAGCCUACUGCCGAAAACUGGUCCCCACGCCUCGAUCUGCACAAUUAAGUACAGAAUAUAAUAUGAGUACAACUGACCCAAUGUAUUAAAUAAAUAUCAUAAAUAAAUACGGUAAGGUAAGAGAAGAACAUAUUAUCAAUGAUGCUGGCUAUCACCUAAUUAGUUUCAUCAUUUAAACCGGUAAAGAACAAUAUUGAAACCAAAUCGUAAAGUUUAGUACAAAAACAGUCGAGUCUGUAUGUGUACAAUUUCUUAAGUACCCAGCUCAAACAAUAUCAAAGUAGAAAUGGUAUAUAUGUUAACCCCUAGAUAGUCAGCUGAGUUGAAACUCGAUUGUGGUUUUGAAAAACUACUUCAUUGACGAUUAAUGAAAAUCUUUAAUUAUCUAAAAAAAAACAAUAUCUUUGCGUAUAGAGGUGAUAUCUUGGCUUAUAGACGUCACAAUUCUUAUAGAUGAAUAAGAGAAUAAUAACAAUAUAUUUUGUGGCUAAUACAACUCCUUGUUGAACCAACUUAGUUAAAAUCGAAGUCCUAAUAUUAGGAAAAAGUGAAUGUGAUAUGUGGACCUUAAUGCUAGUAGUAUUCGUUGCCUAAAAUAUCCUAAUUAAAUAAAACCCAACUAUUAGGCAAUGUCCAAAUGACGAUUUAUCAUAUAUUAAAUCGUUUCUUUGAAGAAAAUAUCACCACCCAAAAUCCCUGCCAUUUGUGAUUGCGACUAACACACCGGCUAGGCAAGCCGGAACAUGAUAACGAGAGCAACAAGAUAACGAAAAUUUAUAGAAACAACAUAAGUCUGAGGUCUUAACACAAUAAAACUGCUCAUACAAAAGUAAAUUCACAGAAACCGAUAAGUACAGAGUAAUGAGUUUCUACAAUGGAAUAAAGUCUAAAACUAAAUAAUAAAUAAACUGUUUGAACUGAAGCAACAGUAUGAAUAGAAAAGACAAGUUAAACUGCAACCAAGGAUGCAUCUCUACCUCACUUUUAGCAGAUAGUCCAACAAGCAAGCCCACUGCCAAAAAUUAGUCCCCACACCUGAAUAAGCACAAUUAAGUGCAGAGUAUGGUAUGAGUAUAACUGAUCCAAUGUACUAAAUAUGUUUCGUAAAUAAACAUGGCAAAGUAAGAGAAGAACACAUUAUCAAUGAUGCUAGCUAUCACCUGUGUAGUUUCAUCAUUUAAAUCGGUACACACUAAUAUUGAAAUCAAAUCGUAAGGUUUAGUACAAAAACAACCGAGUGUGUAUGUGCAAGAUUUCUCAAAUACUCAACACAAACAGUAUUGGCGUAUAGAGGUCACAAUCCUUAUAGAUGAAUAAGAAACUAAUUACAGUAUCUUUAUGCCCUAGUACGACUCCUUAUCGAAGUCGUAAUAUUAGGAAAAAGUGAAUGUGGCAUGUGGACGUUAAUGCUAGUAAUAUUUAUUGCCUGAAAUAUCCUAAUUAAAUCCAAGCCCUACUAUUAGGCAAAGUCGAAAUGACGAUUUAUCAUAUAUGAAAUCGUUUCUUUGAAGAAAUUAUCACCACCCAAAAUCCCUAUCAAGAUUGCAC